Molecule: non-coding RNA, 271 nt
Organism: Araneus ventricosus
Lineage: Eukaryota; Metazoa; Arthropoda; Arachnida; Araneae; Araneidae
Source: the annotation of a GenBank genome assembly
CCCAGGGUGGCCGAGUGGUUAUGGCAUCGGGCUUCAAAGUCCUAGGCUGCAUGCCUUCACCUAGCAAAUUGUAUAGAAGAAGAUUUUCAGAUAAAUGUUAUCAAAAAAUAAAAUAAUUCUUGAGUGAAGACUGCUAAAUUAGUAGCAAUGGAGAAAUAUCCAUGUCUCUUUGGUAAAACGAGUGUUUAUUCUAAGAGAGUGAAGCAUCUGCCAAAGGGUCAUUGCUACCCGAUUCACUCAGUGAGCGCAGGUUCGAAUCCUGCCCCUGGGA